RNAcentral lists this unclassified non-coding RNA (1233 nucleotides) under uncultured Neocallimastigales. Its description in RNAcentral is "partial contains internal transcribed spacer 1, 5.8S ribosomal RNA, internal transcribed spacer 2, and large subunit ribosomal RNA". The stretch from base 594 to 1233 matches the Rfam family "Eukaryotic large subunit ribosomal RNA", at positions 1 to 634 of the family's 3401-position model. The record is from RNAcentral. Lineage: Eukaryota; Fungi; Neocallimastigomycota; Neocallimastigomycetes; Neocallimastigales.
AAAAUAAUCCUACCCUUUGUGAAUUUUGUUUGUUUGAAUAAUUUUUUUUUUUAAAAAAUUAUUGGAGUCUUUCCCUUUAGAGUUUGCUUUUGAGUUUGUAAAAGAGUUCGAAAACAUCUAAAGGGGAUGGUCAAUAAUUUUUUUUGAAAAAAGACAUUUUUUAAAAUUAAACUUUUUGUAUUCAUUUGUCUAAAAAUUAUUUUUAUAAUAUAAAAACAACUUUUGACAAUGGAUCUCUUGGUUCUCGCAACGAUGAAGAACGCAGCAAAAUGCGAUAAGUAGUGUGAAUUGCAGAAUACGUGAAUCAUCGAAUCUUUGAACGCAUAUUGCACUUUUUUAGUUUACUAAAAAAGUAUGUCUGUUUGAGUAUCAGUAAAAUAUUCUCAUAAAAAUCAUUGUAUUUUUAUGGUUAUGAGUGUUUUACAACGAUACAAGUUGUUUCACUUUAAAUUUUUUUUUAAUAUUGAAAUUUUUCUAAUUUUAAUAAUUAAAAUUGGAUAAAAUUUUCCCGUCAAAAGGAAUAACCUAAACAAUUUUAAACGAUUAAUUUUAGCAAAAUUUUCGUAAAAAGGAAAAUUUUUAUUAAAAUAACUUGAUCUCAAAUCAGAUAAGAGUACCCGCUGAACUUAAGCAUAUCAAUAAGCGGAGGAAAAGAAACUAACAAGGAUUCCCUUAGUAACGGCGAGUGAAGCGGGAAGAGCUCAAAUUUGAAAUCUUCAAGGUUUUACCUUGACGAAUUGUAGUUUAAAGAAGUGUUUUCUGCUGAAGUUUUGGUAAAAGUUCUUUGGAAUAGGACAUCAUAGAGGGUGAGAAUCCCGUAUUUGACCAUUAUUUUCAGCUUUGUGAUACACUUUCAAAGAGUCGGAUUGUUUGGGAAUGCAGUCCAAAAUGGGUGGUAAAUUUCAUCUAAAGCUAAAUAUUGGCGAGAGACCGAUAGCGAACAAGUACCGUGAGGGAAAGAUGAAAAGAACUUUGAAAAGAGAGUUAAACAGUACGUGAAAUUGUCAAAAGGGAAGCGUUUGACACCAGUGCUGUUUUCUCGAAAAUCAAUUAAAAAUGGCUCGAUUUUGUAUUGCUUGAGACCUUAAAAGCUCACUGUACAUUUUUCGUGUCUUUUUUAAUGCACUUUUCGUUUAACAAGUCAACAUCAGUUUCUUUUGUUGUAAAAGGGUCAUUGGAAGGUGGCUUUCUUUUCGGAGAAAGUGUUUAUAGCCUUUGGCCUCUGCAAUCGGA